ACGUAGGGUGCGAGCGUUAAUCGGAAUUACUGGGCGUAAAGCGUACGCAGGCGGUUCGUUAAGUCAGAUGUGAAAGCCCCGGGCUCAACCUCGGAACUGCGCUUGAGACUGGCGGGCUGGAGUACGGCAGAGGGGGGUGGAAUUUCACGUGUAGCAGUGAAAUGCGUAGAGAUGUGAAGGAACACCGAUGGCGAAGGCAGCCCCCUGGGAUGACACUGACGCUCAUGUACGAAAGCGUGGGUAGCAAACAG
This 251-nucleotide ribosomal RNA is filed under the name uncultured prokaryote. RNAcentral's name for it is "partial 16S ribosomal RNA". It matches the Rfam family "Bacterial small subunit ribosomal RNA", at positions 525 to 775 of the family's 1533-position model. The record is from RNAcentral.